Long non-coding RNA from Pectinophora gossypiella (pink bollworm), 299 nucleotides. RefSeq lists it as uncharacterized. The transcript has 3 exons. The record is from RefSeq and is a predicted model, not a curated record. NCBI's taxonomy places the organism in Eukaryota, Metazoa, Arthropoda, Insecta, Lepidoptera, Gelechiidae.
CCACAACAUACUCGUAGUGACAAUCGUUCGCCUCCACAGUCGCAGAUACGCGGCCAAAACGUUGAAAAAGAGACGAAUAUAAACAUGCGGGUGACCCUGAGCCCAGCGUCCACUAGUUGAAAGAUAAGACAGGUGAUGCCGUUCAUGGUGGAAGUCGGGGACCAGAUGUUGAUCAACCUUAAGAAGAAACUUCAGAUAACGGUUCGCGUUGUGUGAAGGGAAGGCGAUGAUAUACUAAUUGCUGUAUCACGUGGACGUGAGUCCAGGACCAAAGACCCUCAUCCCCGCCGGACCCUGGA